GAUCUUCAAGAAGUUCCAAUAAUUUUCAGAAGUCCAAGAUGAAGAAAGUAGGACUGUUCCAUGAAGUAAAACCAAACCUAAUCGCCGAAGAUUUUAUGGAACGGUUUAUGCGCAACAAGUCCAAAUAGGAGACCUUAAAGUUACAAUCUAAAACACAAUUGCACAAGAUAGGAUACAAUGAAAUAAAAAUACAGGCAGUUCUACCAGUUUGGAAAUGGGGAUGGAUCUUGGUAUUAUUUAGUACCUUCAUAUCAUGUCAUUUACUGCAACACUGAUGCUUCUUGAAUCGGCGCAUUUUGCUGUCAAGUUUGAUCCUUACGUGUUUGGUUGAGUUUUACAGCUACAGUCUGUACAGAUAUUAUUAAUGGUUACAUUGUUGAAGUUAUAUUCAAUGGAAAUAUAACAAUGGUUUAUAUAUAUGGUUUGCAAAAUGUACCUCCUUUCCUUUCACAAGUAUCAAAACCCCUUGUAAUAUUUUUCAAGUGCAUGUUUGUGGUUUGAGAUUUGAAACCUUCUUUUAUUUGUUAGAAAAAUUUACAGUAUGUGUAUUCAUAA
Non-coding RNA from Nicotiana tabacum (common tobacco), 555 nucleotides. The record is from RefSeq and is a predicted model, not a curated record. Lineage: Eukaryota; Viridiplantae; Streptophyta; Magnoliopsida; Solanales; Solanaceae.